GGGGGUGACUGGAAUCGACAGGAUAGUUAAGGUUUAAUUUGCAAUUCGAAGGUGAUAGAAAGGCUUCGUAAAAAAUCUAUCCAGCAUAAUUGCUGAAGAUGAUUAUUUAAUGGCUGCUUAGUUCAUGCCAUCAUCUAGUAUGAGUUUGGUUUAUGCUCAUGCAACGGGUGCCACUUUAUAAUCCUAUAUUUCAUGUGAGGUUUCGUAACAUGAAACGAAAAAUACGAUAAUAAGUUCUAUUUGGUUUGUCUCUGGUCGCAAUAGAAUCGAAAACUUAAUCAAAGACUAUAAUUGUAGACGAUUUUACUAGACCUAGUACUUGGACGGGAGUUCGAAUCUCCCCACCUCCACCA
RNAcentral lists this transfer-messenger RNA (353 nucleotides) under Candidatus Cloacimonadota bacterium. RNAcentral describes it as "Candidatus Cloacimonetes bacterium transfer-messenger RNA". It matches the Rfam family "transfer-messenger RNA". Rfam says of the family: Bacterial tmRNA, also known as 10Sa RNA or SsrA, is named for its dual tRNA and mRNA-like properties. Its role is to liberate the mRNA from a stalled ribosome. The record is from RNAcentral. Lineage: Bacteria; Pseudomonadati; Candidatus Cloacimonadota.